This 220-nucleotide long non-coding RNA is filed under the name Elaeis guineensis (African oil palm). RNAcentral describes it as "long non-coding RNA (EGUI_LNC016298)". The record is from RNAcentral. Lineage: Eukaryota; Viridiplantae; Streptophyta; Magnoliopsida; Arecales; Arecaceae.
AUCACCACCAAAUUCUCCCUUAUCAACUGCUCGAUGUAUUUUUUUUAUGGCUCCGUCCCGUCAAUCAAUAGAGCUGCCCCUCUCCUCUUCCCCUCCGCCCCCAUUGUCGCUAUUUUCUCCCAAAAGAUCGACGAGAUCUGAGACCGUAAAAGCAAGAGAGAGAAGAAAAAGGAGAGUGAUUGAGAGGCAAAAGCGAGUUCAAUCAAAAGACAGGGCGAGA